CUCUAAAUGACGGCCUGUGUUUGAUUUAGCAACACUUUGAGCCCGUUACAAAUACUAAUGUCCUCCUGCACCAGCUUAAUAAGCUUUACUGUGGAGGAUAGGCAACCCAGUCUCCAUUGUCCCUGCAGCCCUUCGUAUUUAUAGCCACAAACUUUUGAAUUGGCAGAGCCAAGAGAAACGGCACCGUUGUGACUCUGUGAGGGGUGAACGACAGGGCCCAGAAACCUUUGAGGGAAGGAACGUCUUUCAUAGCUGUAGCCUGUACACAGCCUACCACAUGUUCUCUUUGAGGGCAGGAAUUCUCUACAGAAUCAGCUUCUUUGUGUGUUUGCCUGAGUAACUGCUUGGAAAAAUAAGGCAGAUUUUCAAAGACAUAAUCAACAAUUCCAUACAACAUAAAGGGUGAAGAUGGAUUGUCUCUGUAUCAUCUGGGGAAUAAUUUGGUUCAUCAUACUGUACUUUAUUGGAUGGCCCAUAAGCAUAUUCUUAGGAGGACUGUAUGGAUUUAUAGUUCCUUUAACUACUUUGAUAGGUCUAGAUGAUGUUGGGGAAGUUUUGUUGAAGGGGGUGCAUGUGGGGAAAGUGUGUGCUUCUAAUGUACGCAGUGGAAAACCUCUCUGUUAACAACGAGACUACCAUAAUUACACAGCAUGUAUUGUUGUCCAGUGGCAAUGAGGUUUUAUAUGAAUAUUUGGUUUUCAUCCGUAAAGUAUAAAGUUCCCAAAUUGUAUUUGAAACGCAAUUCCUAUGUAUGUUGCAUUUGUGUGUAAUGCACUGCAAGUGGAGAGAUCUGAAUCAGAACCUCAGAUUCUCAAACUGUGAAUGUUCAGAAACUUGGAUGCAAACAGCUUGCAAAUAUCUAAUCAGAAAGAGGGAGAGUUAUGAGAUUUGUAUUUCUCUGGUUUUGUGUUUUUUGCUUCGUGCCAUAAAUUAUCUACGGUUUAAAACUGAGUCUCUCACUAAAGUGAAUUUUGCAUCUCUGUAUACAGUUAAUAAUGUAUAAAUCAAUCUGUAUUAAUUGUUGUUUAUUAUACUUGAUUGUGAAUAUGCUUUAGAAACCAUUGUUUUUGUUUCGGUUCUCUAUAAUGUAAUUAUUUAGGUAUGUUAACACCAUAAGACAUAAUAAAGCUACCUGAACUUUC
This is a long non-coding RNA of Podarcis muralis (Common wall lizard), 1142 nucleotides long. RefSeq lists it as uncharacterized. Lineage: Eukaryota; Metazoa; Chordata; Lepidosauria; Squamata; Lacertidae. The record is from RefSeq and is a predicted model, not a curated record.